Molecule: long non-coding RNA, 1544 nt
Filed under: Mytilus galloprovincialis (Mediterranean mussel)
Lineage: Eukaryota; Metazoa; Mollusca; Bivalvia; Mytilida; Mytilidae
Source: RNAcentral
UUAUGUAUCACUUUUAUUUUUAUGUUCAAAAGAUCAUACAAAACCUGGUAUCCAACCUAUAGAGACUUUAACACUUUGCACUGUGCCACAAUAUAAAUAAUAAACUUUCAACAGCUAAUUCUAUAAAAAUAAAUAGUCCUAAGACACAUUUAAGAUAUCCAAAUCUUGGUAGCUGUUAACAAUUUUGAAAUAUUCUUGUACAAUGAAUUUGAGUGUUAAGAUCCCUUGUUGUUUCAUACCAUUAAAUAUCAAUCAACAUAAAAAAAUAUAUAUAAAUACAGUAAACAAACAUGUAUUAUUUGUAGUACAAAAAAAUGUAGAAAAAACUCAAUGUUCCCUAAUUAAUCUGAGAAAAAGCAUUUUUUUUUGACAACUUUUUCAUCUUUGAAUGAUAGACUUUGGUGUUUGAUUAAAAAAUAUUUUAGAUUGAAUAUGUGUAUGUUCCAACUCAAUUAUGAAAAAAAGUUUUGUGCAUAUUUUAAAUUUAGCCAUAUUUUAAAUCCCUUGAAACAGAUUUUGUUUCAUUUUUCUUUCUUAAAGACAAUAAAUAUUUCAAUGAAAAUCUUUAGUCUAAUUGCAGAAUUAUUUUCAUUUUUUCCCUACAAGAUCUUAAUCCACCAUUGCUUUCUACCAAUUAAAAGAGAAAAUUACAGGUGCAUGUAUAUUUCAAACUUUUGUGCAAUAACCAGUCCCUAGGAGUGCAUGGACGAGAGUAUAAAUAUCACAGGAUUAUGGAAAGCACUCUGUAUAGCACGAAUCAGAGUACUACUGAUGGGGUAACGAAAUAAAAAACCUUCAAUGACAGUGAAAUCUUCUACUACUGAACAUGUACAUGUAUUUAAGGACUACUGAAAUAUAACAAGAUGGAUGAUCUGAAUGUACAAUUCAUCAUUUGAAGGCAUAGAAGAACAGCAAACUUUAUAUGCUCUGAAUUAAACACAUUUUGUUUAAAUUCUGUUUCAAAACAUGAAAUUGUUCAGGGCCACUUAAUUACAUGCAGUAGUACAAAUUCUCUGAUCAUAUUUUUUAAAGCACAUUUUUGAAAUUACCACUUCCAUUGAUUUCUCAAAUAAUCAAUAGUUCCGAUUUUGUGAUUGAAAAGGUUUAAAAAUAAUUAUAUCAAAAUUUAGGAUGCCAAAUGUCACAAGUUUACACAGAAUGACUUUAAAAAAACAUAUAAAAAAUAAUGUAUAAUUGUCAUGACUUAUUAGAAUGGUGAAAACAAUCGUCAAUGCUGUGUGAGAUAUCACCCAAAUGUUAAAAGCUCAAAGAUCAUUAUAUCAACAACUGAUGUGUCUAUGAGACCUGGGAAUGGACUCUAGUGCUCUGUCCUCCUUUGUCCUUUAGAGUAUGGGAUUCUCGUUUUAAUACAUUCAGUAAAGUCUGUGAACUCUCCAAAAUCUGUAAUACAAAAGUUAGUAUUUUGGUUAAUAUAUGAACAACAGUCAUGUGUAUGAACAAGUGAUUUCAGUAUCACCUAUUUUAAUGAUUUAAAAUUCCAAUUAUCAGCUUUUUUUUAUAAAUAUUUCUGUAAUUUUCCUUCA